GGCGGGGUUCCGCUCCCUAUCGGGGUCUACCUCCCCCUGCCAGGGAAGAGAAGACGGGGUGCUGGUUUCCAGCCGGGGUGGACGCACGAGAAGUAAGUGGGCGACCCCAAGGCAGGGGAUGCGAAUCCUGGACUGAAGGAAGAUGCCCAUCUCCUGUGCCUGGGAGGGUCUGCAGGGGACGCUCGUAAGGGGUUCUCGUCCCUGCUGAUUUCCCCAGAAGUGACCCAACAUCGCCUCGGUGGAGGAUGUGGACGCCCGCAGGACCGGUUGGCCACGUAGAAGGGGCUCAAUGAAUGCAUCUCACCCUGCUGAUCCCCUCCCCACCAACUUCCUUGCAGCUUCUGUUCCUGCCCCGACGGCCCUGACUCCUCCCUCACAGUACUGCCGCCGCAGGAACCGGUGCCCACCUUGGUUGUGCCCCGGGCGGCAGCAGGCACCAGUCCGGUUUUUCUUCUUGUCCAUCACUGCUCCCGCCCCCACGACGUUUAGAACCAGGCCGAGUCCACAGUAGGCAGACGCUUUUUGCUAAACUGAGAACGUGCCACUGGUUCUAACAAGAGAAUCCACGGUGACCAUCUGUCUGCUCUAAUCAUCACCCCCACCCCCUGCAGCGUCACCGGAGGGGUGUUACUAAACACGAAUUGAAUCCUUUCACUCCUCCACCCCUCACCCCCACCCACAGACUGCAGGAAAUUCGUCCACCUUUUCCAGCCCUUGGCCUUGCCUCAGUGUCGUUUCCCAUUCCUGAAUUAACUUGCAUACAUUCACUCAACAGGUCCUUUAGAGGAGGGGAAGGGGGAAGAUUUAUAAAGAAUUGCCGAUAGUUCCUUCUUGAGACCUCCUUCAUACCUUUGCACACAAGAUUAUCCUGGCUGCUCGGCAAAUUCCUUCUCCGCCUUUAAAAGCUACUUCAAAAGUCACCUCCUCUGCGAAGCCUUCUCUUUCUAUUAUGAUUGGGAGUCCUUUUCCAGUGCUGCCAUAGAAAUUCGUACAUAUGCCUAUGACAACAAUUAGCCUUGUGAGUGCUCUGUGCUUUGUCCGCCCUGAACGGCACCGCGGGUAGGCCGAGUAACCCGAAGCCUAUAUUCUUUGGAAGUCCAAUUUAGCCAGAGCCGGCGUGACGUAAACGUCGUUUCCAACUGUCACAAGGGGAUUGGGAUCCAUUUUCGAGAAUGUUGUUACAAAUUCGAAAUAAAAAUGGAGGACGGCGAUAAAAAGCGAAACCCCUGCCGUGCCAUUGCUUUCGCAAUGCCGUGACUCGGAUUCGAACCGAGGUUGCUGCGGCCACAACGCAGAGUACUAACCACUAUACGAUCACGGCGAGCUACUGGGGAUUCGGCCUUCGGUUUCCUCGCCUGAGUUCUUCUGUGUUGAAAGCCCCGCCCCCUCAUCACGUCAUUAUUUGUUCCCGCUGAGCUGGGGCUUCGCCUCGCCUCGCGCGAGCGCAGACGCACUGGUCUUCCUGCUUUCUUGAGUUCGAUCCGCGCUCGGCGCGGGCCAGAUCCCGCCGCUUCACCAGUUUGGAGGCUGCGCUCGAGCUUUCCCUUGACCCCGCGCCUCGAAGGAAGUUGUGUGGGUGGGUCGGAACUGAUUUUUCCUUCUUGUAGAAUUCGAGAGACCAUUCCCAGCCAGAAUCCGCUCACAUAGCGUGAGCGCCGGGGCCUGGUGGGUGUGAGAGGGACGACCCCGGGGCAUUCGGGCGACACCGGGGCAUCACAUCCUUACAGGCUACGGGAGCGUCCCGGCCUCCUAGGAAUCCUUACGUUUGCAAAGCACUUUCCCGUCCUUUCUUUUACGAUCGGUGCGCACGACCGGCGGACACCGGCGGGGGAGACCACGGCGCCCCUACUUCGCUUCGGGGUCAGCGAGAGGGCCAGGCAAGCCUGGCAGACCGCGGGCGACGUUGGAAGGCUAAGGAGGCGGCCGGCCAGACCUGAAGGCCCACACUCGGAGGCGAACGUUUCGUGGCGUCCCGGUAGCUCGCCGUGAUCGUAUAGUGGUACUUCUUUCUGUUCCUGCAACAAGAAACCCAUGGGGAGAUCCUGCAGGACUGUUCCUGUCAUGAGGCCAAAAACUCAUUCCUGAGGAAGAAUGCAGGAGUCACCUUUCAGAAGCAAAGGUCUAAAUCAAUGGUUUCCAAACAUUAUUCUGAACUGAUAAACAGGAAUUUUUCAUCAUGGAAUGAGAAAAAAUAAGCUCACCAACUGCUUCUACCAAGUCUGCUGUCUCUUCUGGCUGUCCUAUCAGAGCAACUGUUCUGACUUCCUGGGAGGAUGGAGGAACAUACAACCUUUCAUCAGAGCAAGAAGUUCCUACAAAACACAUGCUGGCUUGUUCAAGAAGAUCCUGCUGAGCCUGUUUGGGUGAGGUGUUGAGAAUUCACGGAAGCAAGAGACGCAAUUAUUUUAGGAAUGUGACCUUGUGUCAAGACAAUUACUACAUGGAAAGCAACUCUCUUCACAAACUGAUCUAAAGGGCUAUUUGAUGUAUAGAUCUUAAUUACUUGUAAGUGAACCAUAAUUUAUUGGAGUUGCACUUCCAGGAAUAGGUAAAAUCUGAGGAUAAACUAUUUUUCAAAACUGUACUAUUUGAUAGACUUAAAUAUUUGAGAGAAUCUGGGUUUGGCUCUUGAUUUACAGCAGGGCCUGGUUCUUGUAGCCUUUACAAGAGAAGCCUAGUAUGUAUUACUUAUUUCUAGCUUUAUUAUUAAGAUCAAUGAUAUAAAAUACCUUAAAAAGGGAGAAAACAUCUGUUUAAAAUAUACUGUCAGUGAUGUAUGGGACAUUGAUCCCAUUAUGAGAGAGAGGUGGGAUAGUGAAAACAAAAAUCUUUUUUUGUUAAAGAUUUUAUUUAUUUAUUUGACAGAGAGAGAGAGAUAGCUAGAGCAGGAACACAAGCAGGGGGAGUGGGAGAGGGAGAAGC
Long non-coding RNA from Zalophus californianus (California sea lion), 2922 nucleotides. RefSeq lists it as uncharacterized. Lineage: Eukaryota; Metazoa; Chordata; Mammalia; Carnivora; Otariidae. The record is from RefSeq and is a predicted model, not a curated record. The transcript has 5 exons.